Molecule: ribosomal RNA, 253 nt
Filed under: uncultured bacterium
Lineage: Bacteria
Description: partial 16S ribosomal RNA
Rfam family: Bacterial small subunit ribosomal RNA
Source: RNAcentral
UCCAGAGGGGGCAAGCGUUGUUCGGAAUUACUGGGCGUAAAGGGCGCGUAGGCGGCCUUCUAAGUCGGACGUGAAAUCCCCGGGCUCAACCCGGGAACUGCGUUCGAGACUGGAAGGCUCGAAUCCGGGAGAGGGAUGUGGAAUUCCAGGUGUAGCGGUGAAAUGCGUAGAUAUCUGGAGGAACACCGGUGGCGAAGGCGGCAUCCUGGACCGGUAUUGACGCUGAGGCGCGAAAGCGUGGGGAGCAAACAGG